RNAcentral lists this ribosomal RNA (1863 nucleotides) under Triticum aestivum (bread wheat). RNAcentral's name for it is "partial small subunit ribosomal RNA". Lineage: Eukaryota; Viridiplantae; Streptophyta; Magnoliopsida; Poales; Poaceae. The record is from RNAcentral.
AUGGACCCAAGCCGCAAGCACGGCGCCACGGGCGCCUCCUCCUCGUCGUCAUCCGCCGACGGCACGCACACUAGCUGCAAGUUCGAGGAGGAGGCGAGGAUGACGGGGGACGCGCUCCUCGUCCUGGACGGCCUCGUGCAGGUGUUCCCGCAGGUUAACUUCUCAACACUGAUAGAAGUUUCCAUCUCAUUCAAUGGAGAUGCUGAUGCAGCAGCAGAUUAUGUUAUCCAUAAUGUCCUUCCAAAUAGUACCGCAGAUGACAAUAAUGCAAGCACGAAUGAUGAUUCAGAUAUUCAUGGGCAACAUCAGGUAUUUAGUGACACAAACACUAGUUUCACGAUCCCGCCAGUGGAUGAUGGUACCAUUCCAAAAUCUGUACAGUUUGACGCUAUCAAUGAAAAUUCUGCUGAACAUGGAGAAAACUCCAUGGGAGAACAAUUGAUGCAGUCACCUGCUGCAGCAUCAACAUCUGGUCAGGACGGUCUACCUGAAGAAAUUGAUUCUGAUUCUGUGCUAGCUGGUGCGCAGAACUCAGUUGUUGAUCAUGAAGUAGCUCAUUCUGAAAACGAGCAGAAAGAAAUGAAUUAUCUGGACCCCGCUACUGAAGAUCACCGUGAUGAACAAAUACACUCAUCUUCUGAGGAAAACCAGGCCGAGCCAACUUCUGAAGAUAUUUCUACGCUGCAUGGUGAUGAUUCACCUGAUAUGAACGUGCGAUCAAACUAUUCUGUUAGCCCUGAGUCCAUUGAUGAUGCAAUCUCUGCUGAAAACUGCAAGAAGAAUACUUUGCUGUCAAAUGUGGCAGCGAUAAGUGAAAUGCUAGAGGAGGUUGAGGUUAGUGAGGCAGAAACAAAACAUGUUGUAUCCGAAGCAAGUCAAGCUGGCAAUGAUAUUCUUGUAAAGGCGGCGAAGCUAAAAGAAAUGUCUACACUUGCAGCGGAAGAGAACAACAAGGUUGCAGCAGAGGUUUUUGCUGAGAAAUCUAUUCUAGCCUCAGAAGCGCAGGGGCUCCAGUCCUGGUUGUUUGACAUUUCUGAAGAACGAAAACACUUCAUAUCAGUCAUUGACGAGAUGCACCAAACUCUUCAAAGAAGGCUCGAUUUAGCAGAAGCAGAAAGGGCAGCCGCUGAGAUGGAAAUGAUUGAAAGGGAAAAAAUGGCUCAAGAAAUGCUAAAAGAACAGGAAGUCCUACUUGAUGCUGCCAAGGAAGAGUCUAAGAAGCUGGAGCAACAGGCAGAGGAGAAUGUAAAGCUGCGGGAGCUACUGAUGGACAGGGGCCAUGUUGUGGAUGCAUUGCAUGGAGAAAUGCUUGGAAUCUUCGGCAACAUUGUACAGCUCCAACGCAGAGUUGAUAUGGGAGUUCCUGCCGAUGAACAACGGCAACUAGCUUCAUCGAUCCUGUCCAGCUCAGUCGAGUCAGCAGCUGGCGAAUUCCCUGCUGAAGAACCACCGCAGCUCGCUCCAAUGAGCUUUCCCAGCCCGGUCCAAUCAGCACAUUCUGGACUAAUCUACGUUGAUGAGCCACUGGAACUAGCUUCAUCGAGCUUAGCGGGCUCAGUCGUAUCAGCGCCUUCAAAACUACUUCCUGUUGGUGAAUCGCUGGACCAAAGUUCAUCGAGCUUGGUCGGCUCCGUCGUAUCGGCGCCUUCCAAACUGUUCUCUGUCUGUGAGCCACUUCAGCUAGCUUCAUCGAGCUUGUCUAGCUCUAUCAGAUCGGCCACUUCCGGGAGCAGCUGGUCUUCUGCCACGGAGUCCAAUUCGGGUUUCAAUGACGAGGAGGAGAUCGCCGUUGCUUCUCCCCGUGACAAUUUUGCUCUGGACGACACCUGGGAUGUAGUUGAAGACGAGGAAUGCGUGUGCUAA